This is a non-coding RNA of Picea glauca (white spruce), 46 nucleotides long. NCBI's taxonomy places the organism in Eukaryota, Viridiplantae, Streptophyta, Pinopsida, Pinales, Pinaceae. The record is from Rfam.
AAAUCGGUGUCUUUAGACACCACCCCUUAUCUUAGAAAAUUUGUUU